This is a long non-coding RNA of Gossypium raimondii (Peruvian cotton), 591 nucleotides long. RefSeq lists it as uncharacterized. The record is from RefSeq and is a predicted model, not a curated record. The transcript is spliced from 2 exons. NCBI's taxonomy places the organism in Eukaryota, Viridiplantae, Streptophyta, Magnoliopsida, Malvales, Malvaceae.
UUAACUGUGGAAUAAGAAAUUUUCUUUUUCCAAUUUCAAUUUUUGCCCUCACCUCUACCCAAAGAAUGAAUAAACUGUAACAUUCUUUUCUUCCCAUCUCUACAUUUCCUCUUUUUUUUUUUCGAUUGCAAAGUUGCAACCCUUUUUUUUUCUAGGCUUGAUCUUAGGCCCUGACUCACCCUCCGUGGACGAACCUUGCAGAAGAACCCUUGGGUUUUUAGGGCAUUAGAUUCUCACCAAUGUUUGCGUUACUCAAGCCGACAUUCUCGCUUCCGCUUCGUCUACUCCCGCUCACGCAGGAAGUUGUAUGCUAUUGUUGCAGAGGAUGAGAUUCCACCUCUCCCUGCAAAGGAACAACUUAAAAGCAAAUGGGAUGAUGAAGAUAUUGAUGACUCUGAUAUCAAGGAAUCAUGGGAGGGUGAAGAUGAACUUGCUCCACCUCCGAUAUGAUAGGCUUCAUUGUAACUUGUAUUAAUUAUGCUUACUAGUAUUUUGUUGUCGGGGCUCUUUGGUCCUAUGAAUCGUUUAAUUGCUUCUUAAAAUUCUAUAUUGGAAAACAUGUUUGUCGAAACCAUUUUUUGAAAACAAAAA